Long non-coding RNA from Nerophis ophidion (straightnose pipefish), 1569 nucleotides. RefSeq lists it as uncharacterized. The transcript is spliced from 7 exons. The record is from RefSeq and is a predicted model, not a curated record. Lineage: Eukaryota; Metazoa; Chordata; Actinopteri; Syngnathiformes; Syngnathidae.
AGUGAAAGAACACGAGCAAACCCAUGUAAUGAAUUCUUAUUUUUUUAGGUGCUAAAUGGCGGACAUAUUGCCUGCAGAGACCAAACCAAGCAACCCCAAAACGCACCUCGGCCGCCUGCCACAGAAUCUCCACGUUCUUGCUCUUCUUGGCGUUGAUGUUCUGGUUGAGCAGUCUGAGCAGGUCGGGCAUACCGGUGUUGCUGCGAGAGCGAGGCAGGCCUGAGAAGACCACGAGAGGGGAGGUUGUGUGCGGACUGACGGUCUGGCAGAAGACGACGUCGCGGCGGUACUGCAGCGUGAGGCUCAUGGCAAUGGUGGGGGCGCUGUCCUGCAUGAGGAGGAACACCAUGGCCUUCCUGGCCUUGUCGCCCAGCAGCGAGGCGCAGUCGCUCAGCGUGGCCAGCAGAGGGUGCAUAGCCUCGCUCCACUCACCUGCAGGUCACUGAUGGUCUCCUGGUAGGUGAGGAUGAUGGUCUGGUACUGUGUGAUGAUCUGCCUCCGGAGGUUCUCCCAGCAUGGCGACAGCUCGCCAAGUUCUUCCAGCUCGCACACCCUAACGCAGCUUGACAAACUGUCGAGGGAUGUGCAGCGAGAGAACACUCUCCGCCAUCUGCUCCAGGACCCGAAGAUGGUUGCCGUCCGUGGUGGGGAAACGAAUCAAGUGGAAGUGACUUCAACCGGACCCCGAGUCUCCUUGUGAUCCUUGUGUGCCUCGAUCUCAGCUGUCACGCAUGAGUCACUAAAAGGAGGAAAACAGAUCAGAAUUUCAUGAGGGAUGAUGCAGCCAACUGAUCAUUUGACGUCGCACUAGCAAAAAAUCACAGAUGACAAAUACAUCAUGGCCACUACGCCACAUUAGACUCAGUGUGUGUGUGACUGAAGGGCGCCGUGGGAAGCUCUGUGGGAAAGCCGUCGUGGGUUUGCUGCGAAGACUCAGGUGGCCCCAGAUCAUCGUCAUGGCUACACGUGUUUGACAGGCGUCUUCAUCAUCAUUCUCUGCGUGUGACGAGCUUCUUCAUCUUUGAGCUCAUUGAGUCACAACAUUACAGGUAAACAGUGACGGGCAGUAACAAGUUACAUGAAGCUAAGCUACAGAGCUUAAUUUCUCAGUAGCUUGGCGGUAGCUUCCAUAUUUUUUUCAAACGAGAAUGAUGAAUGAGAACAUCUAUACCAAGGGUCACCAACGCAGUGCCCGUGGGCACCAGGUAGCCCGUAAGGACCAGAUGAGUAGCCCGCUGGCCUGUUCUAAAAAUAGCUCAAAUAGCAGCACUUACCAGUGAGCUGCCUCUAUUUUUUUUAUUUUUUUUAUUUACUAGCAAACUGAUAUCGCUUCGCUCAACGUUUUUAACUCUAAGAGAGACAAAACUCAAAUAGAAUUUGAAAAUCCAAGAAAAUAUUUUAAAGACUUGGUGUUCACUUGUUUAAAUAAAUUCAUUUAUUUUUUUACUUUGCUUCUUAUAACUUUCAGAAAGACAAUAUUAGACAAAAAAUACAACUUUAAUUUUUAAACACAUAUACCUUUUUACCUUUUAAAUUCCUUCCUCUUCUUUCCUGACAAUUAAAUCAAUG